GUCUACAGCCAUACCACCCUGAACGCGCCCGAUCUCGUCUGAUCUCGGAAGCUAAGCAGGGUCGGGCCUGGUUAAUACUUGGAUGGGAGACAACACUGGCCAUUCUGAGCUGAGACC
Ribosomal RNA from Cavia aperea (Brazilian guinea pig), 117 nucleotides. NCBI's taxonomy places the organism in Eukaryota, Metazoa, Chordata, Mammalia, Rodentia, Caviidae. The record is from Ensembl.